UCCCAACCUUCCCUGUCCCUCUCUGUCCCUCUGUCCCUGUCUGUCCCUUCCUGUCUGUCCUUUCCCUGUCCUGUCUGUCCUGCCUGUCCCUCUCUGUCCCCCCGUCCCCUCUGUCCCACCUAUCCCCUCUGUCCCUUCCUGUCCCACUUGUCCCUUCCUGUCCCCUCUGUCCCUCCCUGUCCCUCCCUGUCGCACCUGUCCCUCUCUGUCCUCUCUGUCCCUUGUCUGUCCUGCCUGUCCCUCUCUGUCCCCUCUGUCCCUGCCUGUCCCACUUGUCCCUUCCUGUCCCCCCUUGUCCGUCUCCAUCCCUCUCCUGCUUUCCUGUCCCACCUGUCGCCUCUGUCCCUUCCCUGUCCCCUCCUGUUCCCCCCUUGUCCCUGUCCAUCCCUGCCUGUCCCUCCCCUCCUCGGCCUGAGCUCCCCCUCGAGCCCCCCGAUCCCCCCGACCCCCCUCGAGCCCCCCGUGCCCCCCGAGCCCCCCGUGUCCCCCGUGUCCCCCGUGUCCCUCACCACGUUCUCGGGGCUGGGUCUCUCGGGGCUGAUCUGGAUCCACUCGAUGCCCACGCCCUGCGGUCCGUUGUCCUCGGGCUCCAGGACAUACGGA
This 603-nucleotide long non-coding RNA is filed under the name Serinus canaria (Common canary). RNAcentral describes it as "lncRNA (ENSSCAG00000001944.1)". Lineage: Eukaryota; Metazoa; Chordata; Aves; Passeriformes; Fringillidae. The record is from RNAcentral.